UUAUUAAUUACUAUUAAUUGUUAGAUUAUGAUUUAAUAACAAAAGAUAAUUUUGAAUUAGGAGAGUGGUGGAUUAUGUGAGGUCCUGGGGAAUGCAGGCACCCACCAUAUGCGUUUGAGUGUCAGGUUGCACUGCUCCCCCUAACAGGCAGCACUCUGUUCCUCAGUAGAGCUUUGGCAGCUUUGCCCCAGGUGGUCUUUCUGCAGGCAGAGGAUGAGGGGCUAAUAAACGUGUGGCUAUAUCACCCUUCCCAAUAAAAUGCAGAUGUCUACAGUAGAAAUGUCCAUGGGCUGUGCCCAUUCAUUCCUCACCUCAAAUAUUUUUCUUGCAUAGAUCAUGACAUAAAACUGUCUACAAAGAGCCAGGGGAGAGCUGGCUUCACACACACAGUUUACAAGCGCCUGCUGUUCAAUCCACAGCUUGUUCACUCAACAGUGUUUCAUUCUGGGGAGAGACCAGUGGACAGCAGGGCAUUGUAAGAGACACUCUCUCACUCUUGCAAUUCGUGGCACUCUUUAAUUAUUAAAGAUACCUUAUCUUGGCGUGUUGAGAACCAUCACAACCAAACAAUCACCAUUUUCCCAAACUGUGUGAUAACGUCUUUGAGGUCAAGAAGCCUAUCACUUGUACAUCUUUGCGUCUGUCCCAGCGUGGAGCAUGGUGUCUACUCAAACACUGACUAUCUGAUGUUUUUUUCUAUUAGAUGUUAUUCCCAAAAGAGGAAUAUUGACUAGUGCUUUUAUUCCUUUACUUAAAAAACAUCUAUUCUUUUAAUAAAAUCUGAAUGAAAGGCUGCUGGCUCACUCACUCGCCACGCAAUACAACAUAGACAUCUAAACUCUUUGGAUCUGUUUACUCAUUUGUAAAGUAAGGUGAUAAGACUUGGUGUUGCACCAGAGGGAAGUUGGUCUCUAGAGAUGCCCUGUGGAGCUCCAUCUGCCCAGCAUUUUCACAAGCCGUGAGGGUGUGGAAGGCAUACCGAUCACUAUUACAGAGUGUGUGGAGCUGGAAGAUAUGGUUCAUGUUUGAAUGACAACAGCAGAAGACAAAAAGGCUGUGGCAGCUUGGAACAACCAGCUACCUUCAACAGGACCAGUGAACUGGCUUCAAAGGACACAGUGAAUCGGACGUCUACUUUACCCAUCUCUGACCCGGCACUGCCUUUUAAGCAGGAGCAAAAUGUUGCAAGGAUGGCUGUGGGGCAUAUGUGAAGUCACCUGUCGAAAGGUACCUUUGCUUUGUAUUGAGACCGUAUCUCCUGGAUCUUGAAUAUAUGUUUUUUUUUGAGUGAGAUUACUAAUCAACAUUAGAUAUCAAGAUGGUGAACCGGAAUCUUGGACUCACAGAAUCAGAACUAAACGGAUACUAAAUGAUGAUCCAGUUCAUUUUCCAGGUUGAAAGAUCAGGCCUGAGCUAACAUCCAUGCCAAUCCUCCGUUUUUGCUGAGGAAGACUGGCCCUGGGCUAACAUCUAUGACCAUCUUCCUCCACUUUAUAUGGGACGCCGCCACAGCAUGGCCUGACAAGCGGUGCAUCGGUGCACGCCCGGGAUCUGAACCCGGGCCGCCAGCAGUGGAGCACACGCACUUAACUGCUACGCCAUGGGGCCAGCCCCUAGGGUAACUUUUAGAUGUAGAUUCGCGAGUAUCACAUCCAAAGAUUCUAUUUCAGGAGGACCGGAGUGGACACUAGAUGGAAUUAUUUUAACAAGAUGUGAAAGUGGUUUUGAUACAAGUGGUUUUUGAGAAACUUUGUUUUAGCUCCUUCUUUGUUGAAUGUUUAUAAAUGACUUUAUUAUUUUCCUUGAAAUGAAUGCCUGGACACGUUAAUGACAUAAUUGUCAAGACUAGAAUAAACUGUUAAGAUUCUGGGAUGGAUGCCUGAAAUAAUCAGAUUAAUAAAACAUGGUAUGUAAACUAUUCUGAAUGAUUUCCCUGAUAUGACAUCAUUGUGCUUUUCCAAAGAAGUCCAGAUAGUCUCUUCAAUUCUUCUUUAUCUCAUAGACAUAGCCAAUGAUAAACUGAUUUAGCAUUAACAGUAUGAAUUUUGUGUUAGGAUUCUUGGUUGUGGACUAUCUAAACCCGGUUGAAACUAAUUUAAGCAAAUGGAAAUAUAUUGGCUUAUAUUACUGAAAAGUCAGGAAAUAUUUAGUUUCAGGUAAGGCUGGAUCCAGCGGGUCAAAGAGAUGCUCAGGCUACUUUUCUUCCAGUUUUCUCUCAGUUCUGCUUGUCUAUGUUGAUUUCCUUUCUCUUCUCCUGCAGAAAGGUAUCUUCUGCUAAGUGAGGAAGAGGGCUAUAGACAAAUACCAGUUCACAGUCUUCAAUCUUCUUCAGCUCCAAACCAACACACAAAUCCUAGAGAAUUUCUGAUAAGCCUUCCUUAGAUUGCAUGCCCAUUUCUGGACUUCCGUGGCCGAGGAAAUAAGUAUUAAUAUGGCCCAUGCCAGACCACCAGUGGCUAGUACCUUGCUUGAAAGUCCCAACCAGAAUUACAAGUUUUCAGAAUUGAAGGAAUUACUAGACAUAAAAAUAAUAGAUUUCAUCAAAACUUGAAAUAGCAUCAGUGGUUUGGGAACAACCUUAGUGUAUACCAGCAGGGGAGUCAGGCAAGGAUGAUAUAUGUACACCUGGGAUGGAAUAUUCUGCAGACAUCAGAACUGAUGGAUAUGAAGACUGCAUGGUAAAAUAAAUGUUUAAGAAGUUUGAUAUUAUGUAAAACGAGAAAAAUAGAUCUCAAAAUUGUACCUUCACUGAGGUGUUGAUGUGAUAGAAAUGUACGUGCAUAUCGCAGGAGAUCAUAGAGAAACAAAAGCAAUCAGUGCUGAGUUAGUGAGAUUCAAAGCACAGGUUUGUUUCCUUUCUUCCUUGUGUUGUCAAUAUUAUUUGAUUUUUCUUUAUAUUAAAUGUUAUUUUCUAUAUUUAUCUGUAAAAUAAAACACCUGAAGUUUCUAGUUUUCAUUGGCAGUACUUUCAUGCAUAUUUCUUUUUAAUCUGGGACAUUAUUUGGUGCUUCCUCUGGUGGACCUCUGAGCUUUUUGCCCGCCUGACAUUUAUUGCUCCUGAUAAUAAUGUCUCUCUUUUCCUUUGUGUGAGGCCCAUUCCGAAGCCAAUUCCACGAGGAGGGCUGGACUAGCUCUGGUCCAGGGAUGUGUGUGUGACUCAGCCCCAGCCAUUCAGUGUAUCGAUUCCACUGGCUUCUAUGUUUGGUUCAGGGAUUAUCAUGUGAUGCAAGUUGGUUUGGUGAGAUUCAAUUCCAAUAGUUUUGUUGGAACAGUCGGAGAAGAGAAGCUCCAUUUUCUCAAGGACUUUCAAAUUGGGAGAUGUAUAAGCCAGGAGCAGUCAGUGAUCAUUUUGCCUCAGAAUGAAAGCCAAGGCAGAGGUGAGAAAUAGUAUUUUAAUUAUAAUCAUUGAAUCUCUAAAUGCUAUUAUGCCUGAAGUUGUUACACUUGUAGACUUUCUUUAAAGUUUAUAUUUUGAGAUAAUUGUAGAUCAAUUUGCAGUUGUAAGAUCUGUGUAAACUUGACCCAGUUUCUCCCAAUGGUAACAUCUUGUAAAACUAUAGUAGAGUACCACAACCAAGAUAUUGGUGUUGAUACAGUUAAGAUAUAGAACAGACCAAUCACCACAAGGAUCCCUUAUGUCAUCCUUUUAUAGCCUCACCUACCUCUCUAUCCCUUUCCCCCACCCAUCCUUGACCCUGGCAACCACUAAUCUGUUCUUGAUUUCUCUAAUUUUGUCAUUUCAAAAUGUUGUAUAAAUGGAAUCAUAUAUUUUGUAACCUUUCUGAGAUUGGCUCUUUUCGCUCAGCAUAAUUUCCUGAAAAUUCAUACAACUUGUUGUGUCUAUCUAUAGCUUGUUCCUUUUUUAUUGCUGAAUAGUACUCCAUCACAUGAAGGUACCAUAAUUUGUUUAGCCAGUCACUCACUGAAGGACAUCUAGGUUGUUUCUAGUUUUUGGCUAUUAUGAAUAAAGCUGCUGGACAAAUUUGUAUAUGGCUUUUUGUGUGAACAUGAGUUUUCGUUUCUCUGGAUAAAUGCAAAGAAUUCAGUUUUGUAUAGUAGUCGCACAUUUAGUUUUUUAAAGAAAUUGCCAAAUUGUUUUCCAGAGUGCCUAUAACAUUUUCUACUUCUUCCAGCAAUGUACAAACCCAUGUACUUUUUGAUUUUUACUUAAGCUAGUUGGAGCUUGAGGUCUUUACUUGCCUUCUCCCACAGUUCAUCAUUGAACACUAUUAUCCUUUGUCUCAGUUCGCUCUUGCCACAAUCAUGCUGCAUAAAAUACCAUCCCUAAACUCAGUGGCGUACAAGAAUAAACAGUGUUUUCAUGGGCCUAGAGGUUGACUGUAAACUGUCUGAUCUAGGCUGGACUCAGCUGGGCAGGUUCUGAUGGGUUAGCUCUUCACUGUGGAUUGGGUCAGAAUUGUUCCAUGUAUUCUUUCUGGAGACUGAUCUGAAGGGUUGUUUACUACUUGUUGAAAGAUGUUCUCAAGUUCUCUUGUGCUUCUGCUAUCAUACUGCCCCACUGCACAUAUCAAGCUCUUGCUUGAGUCACAUCUGCUAAUGUUCCAUUGGCCAAAGCAAAUGAUGUAACAAGUUCAAACUCAAUGGUUGGGGGCUACAUUCCUUCUCUUGUGGGAGCAGCCUCAGGUUGCAUGGUAAAGGAUGUGGAUAAAUGGACAAAAAAAUAACCAAAUUCCUUUUUCUACCGUCUACUCAUCCCAAAACAUUUCUUUUGGUCUUACAUAGUUUCUAGUGCCCACAUCAACAUUGUUUUUUCGAUCUUGCUUAUUAGCUGUGUCUUCUAGGACUAUAGUAAAUUAUAGUAAGAAUUUGUGCCUUUUUUUUCUUACAAUAUUUUUGAUCUAACCAAAGACAUGAGUGACUAGGCACACCCAAAGGUUCAGAAAUCCUCAUUACUUAUAAGAUAUUCUGCAAUUUAAGCUUUUGUCUUUCCUAUUAUUGUUCCCCCAUCACAAUGACUAAACCGUGGUGAUUUCUGGAUUUGUAUUCCUAUGAAUUGCUUCUGGGAUCUUCUAAUACAAGAGUAUGUGGCAUAGUAGCAAGUACUCUCAGUUUGGAACAGGAUUUCUAAGUUCAAAUCCUAGUUAGAAUACUUGCUAACUGUGAACAUUCGUUUCCUCAUCUGUAAAACAGAAAUGAUAAUCCUUACUUCAGAGUAUUUGUGUGAAGAUCAAAUGGAUUUUAAAAAUAUGUAUCAAAUGGAUUUUAAAGGUGUUGCAACCAGUUCAACAUUUUACAUUUGCUAUUAAGGCUAGUUAUUUACAUUCUAGAGAAUGCCUUCUCUCAGAAAUGUGGCUUUGCUGGGCUUGGUUUCAUAGGUCUAUCUCUUGGUCUGUCUUCUGACUGCCACCACAGGAAAGAGAUAAGCAAGGACUCAUAACUGAUCAAAGGAAUGAUCUGAGUUCACGCGUGCAUAGGCCUUUACAAUGCAUGUUGUUGAAUCUUAUAAGAUAAGCUGAGUUAAUUUGAUGGGCAUGAGUGGAUUUACUACAGCCUUGUUCAUCACCUCCAAUACAUUUUGACUCAAGAACUCACAGGGAACUUGAAGAUGAGGACUCUGUGGAUGGACUGGGGUUGGCAGUGUUUUCCCCAGUGCGUGGGAAAAUCCCUUCAGACUGGGUGGUUCUACAAAGUAUGGUUCUGUGUCCUUUAUGGCAAUUGACAGUCUUGUUACAUAUUGGGUAAAUGGUGCUGCCUACUUUGGAGACUGCUUUCUUCAAGCUGCAAGGGGAAGCCUUUCAUGUCUCAGGAAACUGAGGCCCUAGUUUCACUUAGUCUCACCAGGCCACUGGUGUUCUUGGGGUUAGGUUGUUCAACCUCACGGUGUUUGUCUCCUUGCUGUAAAAACGAUAGGAUAAAGCUUCAUAGCUUGUGGGAUCCUUUCCAGCCUUAAUAUUCUAUGAACCUAUGAAUAUGCACUGAUUUCCCUGGAGCUGUGCAACAUAUGGUGCAGGUCCAGGGGAUUGUUAUAGCAUAACUGGCUUUUCCACAGUGGGUUCUCAGAGUGUCAGUGACUCCAUGUUGAUGUUUCACAGUGUGAGUAGAUUGUAAGGGCAAAAAUCCAAUCCUGAACAUCAGGCUUAGGUUUGCCUGCAAUCUACUCUGACCUCUGAAUCCUUCUCUAACCUGUCCCAGAUAUUCAAAACUGGUCUGAUCAUCCAGCUUUGCUUAUUUUGAUUUGCAAGAUUCAGUCUAUUUUGGUGUAACUAGGAAGCAUCAUUUUUCCUGACUA
Molecule: long non-coding RNA, 6250 nt
Organism: Diceros bicornis minor
Lineage: Eukaryota; Metazoa; Chordata; Mammalia; Perissodactyla; Rhinocerotidae
Exons: 4
Source: RefSeq, a predicted model, not a curated record